ACUAUAGCUCAGUUGGUAGAGCAACAGAUUCGUAACCUGUAGGUCGUGAGUUCGAUUCUCGCUAGUG
This 67-nucleotide transfer RNA is filed under the name human gut metagenome. It matches the Rfam family "tRNA". Rfam says of the family: Transfer RNA (tRNA) molecules are approximately 80 nucleotides in length. The record is from RNAcentral.